UACAGAGGUCCCGAGCGUUGUUCGGAUUCACUGGGCGUAAAGGGUGCGUAGGUGGUGAGGUAAGUCGGAUGUGAAAUCUCCGGGCUCAACCCGGAAACUGCAUCGGAAACUACCUUGCUUGAGGGUUUGAGGGGGGACUGGAAUUCGUCGGUGUAGCAGUGAAAUGCGUAGAUAUCGAGAGGAACACCAGUGGCGAAGGCGGGUCCCUGGACAACACCUGACAUUGAGGCACGAAAGCUAGGGGAGCAAACAGG
RNAcentral lists this ribosomal RNA (254 nucleotides) under uncultured bacterium. RNAcentral describes it as "partial 16S ribosomal RNA". It matches the Rfam family "Bacterial small subunit ribosomal RNA", at positions 524 to 776 of the family's 1533-position model. The record is from RNAcentral.